Limulus polyphemus (Atlantic horseshoe crab) is the source of this 143-nucleotide long non-coding RNA. RefSeq lists it as uncharacterized. The transcript is spliced from 2 exons. NCBI's taxonomy places the organism in Eukaryota, Metazoa, Arthropoda, Merostomata, Xiphosura, Limulidae. The record is from RefSeq and is a predicted model, not a curated record.
AGCUUGUCGAUCUUGCUGCACCAGUUCUAGAAAAAGUAAGGGGCUUAUUUCCUCUCGAGAAGUUGAUGACAAAGAAGUCUGUGGAAACAGGGGCAGAUAUUUUUCAGAAUGGUGAUAAAGCUGGUGGUGAUGAACCUAAAAAG